AUCCAGCUGACGAAUCUCAAAUAAGGACGAAACGCGCGUCAAACUGGAU
Schistosoma rodhaini is the source of this 49-nucleotide non-coding RNA. The record is from Rfam. NCBI's taxonomy places the organism in Eukaryota, Metazoa, Platyhelminthes, Trematoda, Strigeidida, Schistosomatidae.